This 2243-nucleotide long non-coding RNA is filed under the name Rhipicephalus microplus (southern cattle tick). RNAcentral's name for it is "uncharacterized LOC119180254". The record is from RNAcentral. Lineage: Eukaryota; Metazoa; Arthropoda; Arachnida; Ixodida; Ixodidae.
UGAAACAAAGCCUUGGGGCGAGACACGUGCGCCACGCGGCGCAGACAACUUUACACACCCCCACAACAUGUAGGGGAGCGCCGCACGGGACCCACUGUACUCCAUUUUCGUUGGCACAACAGCUGUCAGGCCUCCCCAGUUGUCCAAGCCAAAUACAUUUCUCCCUGGGUAUGUUGCUUUUCUUGUCAUCAGCGCGGCAAAGAAGGUCAGGUCGACCGUAGCAAUAGCUCCACACAGCGCGGCGUUGCCAUACAUACCCAUGUGCCUUUCUAUCUUGGUGGCAAACGCAUCGAUCGCGACCCUUGUCGCCACGUGCGUCAUCUUUCUCAUUUUGUCAUCAUUGACGAUGACUUCACUUAACAGCAUACAUCUUAAGAACGCUGCUUCAUCACGUUGCGUACCGGCGGAUGAUCUGACCGCCUCGACAAGCUGCGACACAGUCUUAGUAUCCAGCAUAGCCGGGAACUCAAACAAAGCGACUGGCUUGGAAGUCCCCUAUAGGCUUGCUGAGCACGACAGCCAUGGCGCGAUAUCUGUCGGUCACCUAAACCCCAAACACACCUGCCCUCAACUGUCGGUCAUUACGCACAUUGCAUAUGGGGCCAGCUUCUGUCCAAGAGGUCUGGUUGAGGUAGAGUGGACCUUCGCCGUUAGGCCACGACAACACUAUCGGUAUAAGUGGGUCCGCCCAGCUCCAGGAUGUGAUGUCGCUGGGUGUCUUGGCCACGGUCUUGUACACCAUUUUGUCAAGACACGGCGGAUCCACACCGUUCAUUUCCAUUACUUGUGGGAGACUUUGCUCUCGGUACGCUUGGGCAACUUGUAGUGGAAGGGACUUGUUUCGUCUACUUUUUCUUCGUUCUGUGACAUCCUUCAGGUUAAGGGUGUGUGGUUUCUUGUGGAGGUGUGCGCUUUCUUGAGCACUCGUUUGUGAUACAGUUGCAGUUCACCACUUGCACGUACUCAACGCAGUGGCUCAUUGGUCGACACUCGGGACGCGCUGAAUUGCCGGAAAAAAAAAAAAUACACGCGGAGGCACAGGUAGGACACACACGAUGUUCUCUGGUCAGAUGUUGCUUUUAGCAUUGUUGCCCCAUUCGUUUCUAUUUCUAUCGUUCACCUCUAUCUCCCACUUCUUAUUUUUGUUCUGCUAACCCGCUUAUGGGGCUCAACUCGGGAAAAACCGCAUCUACUUAUUGAGGACAAAUUUCUUGAGAUCUCUUUUGUUCUACAGGUAAAAAUUGAGCCAUGUACAAAAAAUACCUGUAUAGAUUUUAACCGCUAAAGUGCUCUCAGCAUACAAGUUAGCAUGAACACGCACAGCGUGCAACAUCACUUAUGGUGACGUGGUCUUUCUUCAACGUUGCAAACGUUUCUAUACAUGUAAAUUUCUGAUGACUUCUGACUGAUUGUGGGAGUUGUGCCUGACUCGCGUGUAGAACAAGUGCUCGUGUUAAAGCUCAAAAACUUUGUAUGUGGAAUAUUCACCAUGCUUGUUCAGUUGGCAGUCCUUGGUGUAAGUAUGUCUCCAAUGCAAUGCCUCCAGAAGCACUGACAUGCAUACAAUAUAUGUAUGUCGGUGCUUUUUUUCUUUUAAAUCUCGGCAACGGGGGUUGUCUGGCCAAAGUACGUACAAGGGCAUGCUCAGUGUUCGGAAGCGUCCUCUACUACGGAACGCAGAGAAGAGUCCCCGUGCCGAGAGCUUACUAAUGAGAAGGCAGUAGGACCAUGUGAGUCGCCUGUGUGGUGUGUUGAUGCCCUCUCCUUCUUCGCCCGCUUGAAACGGUGGUCAUUCCCUGGUGUACGGUGAAACAACGCCAGCUUCCCUGGAGACACAAGAUUGUUAGUAGAUUAAAAUCGUUGGCUGAAAAGCCAAGAUCUUUUAAGGUGUCCAGACUCUCUUUGGCCCAUAUCCCCCUAUACGAUAAUGUUAUCUUAGAAACGAUUGGUGGUACAUCCCUUGAGACGAGAGCGCACAACUCCUGAUGCAUGUACUUGGUCGCUUUAACGGCGUGGGCAUCUGACAGCUUUAUCCUUCCUCCAACCACCUGCGCGUGGUAAACCAAACAAUGUACACCUGUACGUGUCAGCAGUACAUGCUUCUUUCUGGAAAUCAGACAAAGAAAUAAGCAAGACAAAAUAGAAAAGACAGAUAUUGUGUCGAAUAAGCAAGGGUUCUUCUUGAGGACGUAAGGAAAUGUUUAUACUAGUAAGGUGCACAAGAGAGCUAUCACAAGCUAAGG